CCUACGGGUGGCAGCAGUGAGGAAUAUUGGUCAAUGGGCGCGAGCCUGAACCAGCCAAGUAGCGUGAAGGAAGACUGCCCUACGGGUUGUAAACUUCUUUUAUAAAGGAAUAAAGUGAGGCACGUGUGCCCUUUUGUACGUACCUUAUGAAUUAGGAUCGGCUAACUCCGUUCCAGCAGCCGCGGUAAUACGGAGGAUCCGAGCGUUUUCCGGAUUUAUUGGGUUUAAAGGGAGCGUAGAUGGGUUGUUAAGUCAGUUGUGAAAGUUUGCGGCUCAAACGUAAAAUUGCAAUUGAUACUGGCAGUCUUGAGUACAGAUGAGGUAGGCGGAAUUCGUGGUGUAGCGGUGAAAUGCUUAGAUAUAACGAAGAACUCCGAUUGCGAAGGCAGCUUACUAGACUGCCACUGACGUUGAUGCUCGAAAGUGUGGGUAUCGAACAGGAUUAGAUACCCUUGUAGUC
This 460-nucleotide ribosomal RNA is filed under the name uncultured bacterium. RNAcentral describes it as "partial 16S ribosomal RNA". It matches the Rfam family "Bacterial small subunit ribosomal RNA", at positions 338 to 795 of the family's 1533-position model. The record is from RNAcentral.